This 433-nucleotide ribosomal RNA is filed under the name uncultured bacterium. RNAcentral's name for it is "partial 16S ribosomal RNA". It matches the Rfam family "Bacterial small subunit ribosomal RNA", at positions 29 to 507 of the family's 1533-position model. The record is from RNAcentral.
AGCGAACGCUGGCGGCAGGCCUAACACAUGCAAGUCGAACGGAUCCUUCGGGAUUAGUGGCGGACGGGUGAGUAACACGUGGGAAUGUGCCCUUUGGUUCGGAACAACUCAGGGAAACUUGAGCUAAUACCGGAUGUGCCCUUCGGGGGAAAGAUUUAUCGCCAUUGGAGCGGCCCGCGUCUGAUUAGCUAGUUGGUGAGGUAACGGCCCACCAAGGCGACGUUCAGCAGCUGGUCUGAGAGGAUGAUCAGCAACACUGGGACUGAGACACGGCCCAGACUCCUACGGGAGGGAGCAGUGGGGAAUCUUGCGCAAUGGGCGAAAGCAUGACGCAGCCAUGCCGCGUGAAUGAUGAAGGUCUUAGGAUUGUAAAAUUCUUUCAGCGGGGACGAUAAUGACGGUACCCGCAGAAGAAGCGCCGGCUAACUUCGUG